Molecule: ribosomal RNA, 547 nt
Filed under: Ammonia batava
Lineage: Eukaryota; Foraminifera; Rotaliida; Rotaliidae
Description: partial small subunit ribosomal RNA
Source: RNAcentral
CUACCAAAAGCGAAAGCAGUUGGUUAGGCUAUACCCUUUGUGCCUGCACGCAAUGUCAAACUUAUACGCACACACACACACACACACCAUGCAAAAAGUUGACACGCUGCGACACUUUACAAUGAAGAACGAAGGUUGGGGGAUCAAAGAGGAUCAGAUACCCUCGUCGUCCCAUUAGUUACAUCAAACUAUGGGCUCUCAAUUGCUCUCAGUUUAACUGUCGAGUAUGUUUUAUGAUCUCAUACCCUGACCUGCAAACCUGUAUGGCUCGAGCCUCCCCGCUCGCUGUACUAAACUGUAUCGGUCUCAGUAUAGACAUAUCUACUCACCAUAUAAAUAAAGUCAUGUCGGCUUACUCCGUUCGUAUUCUUACGUAUUGGAUGCUAGACAUAAGAUUUUAUGAACUUUGCGCUCAGUUAAUAUACGGUGAGAUGUAAGCAUCGUAAGCAUUUGUACGCAUCCAACUUAGCCUCACGGCGGUCGGGCGAUACAUUAUGUUUAAUAUAUGAUGUGAAGCACGUGUUAGGUACGCGCUUACUGCAGAAAU